AGGGUGCAAGCGUUAAUCGGAAUUACUGGGCGUAAAGCGAGCGUAGGUGGCUUGAUAAGUCAGAUGUGAAAGCCCCGGGCUUAACCUGGGAACGGCAUCUGAUACUGUUAGGCUAGAGUAGGUGAGAGGAAGGUAGAAUUCCAGGUGUAGCGGUGAAAUGCGUAGAGAUCUGGAGGAAUACCGAUGGCGAAGGCAGCCUUCUGGCAUCAUACUGACACUGAGGUUCGAAAGCGUGGGUAGCAAA
Molecule: ribosomal RNA, 244 nt
Filed under: uncultured bacterium
Lineage: Bacteria
Description: partial 16S ribosomal RNA
Rfam family: Bacterial small subunit ribosomal RNA
Source: RNAcentral